This 217-nucleotide unclassified non-coding RNA is filed under the name uncultured Tomentella. RNAcentral describes it as "partial internal transcribed spacer 2". Lineage: Eukaryota; Fungi; Basidiomycota; Agaricomycetes; Thelephorales; Thelephoraceae. The record is from RNAcentral.
ACACCUCAACUCUCGUGGUUCGCCAUGAUGAGCUUGGACUUUGGGGGUCUUGCUGGCCAAUGGUCGGCUCUCCUCAAAUGAAUCAGCUUGCCAGUGUUUGGUGGCGUCGCAUGUGUGAUAACUAUCUACGCUUGUGAUUUCCACCAGGUAACCUUCAGGGAUGGAGGUUCGCUGGAGCUCAUAAAUGUCUCUCCUCGGCGAGGACAGCACUUUGAAU